This 253-nucleotide ribosomal RNA is filed under the name uncultured bacterium. RNAcentral describes it as "partial 16S ribosomal RNA". It matches the Rfam family "Bacterial small subunit ribosomal RNA", at positions 524 to 776 of the family's 1533-position model. The record is from RNAcentral.
UACGGAGGGUGCAAGCGUUAUCCGGAUUCACUGGGGUUAAAGGGUGCGUAGGCGGCCCUGUAAGUCAGUGCUGAAAUAUCCCGGCUUAACCGGGAGGGUGGCAUUGAUACUGCAGGGCUUGAGUAAAGUUGAGGUUGGCGGAAUUGACGGUGUAGCGGUGAAAUGCUUAGAUAUCGUCAAGAACACCUAUUGCGUAGGCAGCUAACUAAGCUUUAACUGACGCUGAGGCACGAAAGUGUGGGGAUCAAACAGG